RNAcentral lists this ribosomal RNA (463 nucleotides) under uncultured bacterium. RNAcentral's name for it is "partial 16S ribosomal RNA". It matches the Rfam family "Bacterial small subunit ribosomal RNA", at positions 28 to 507 of the family's 1533-position model. The record is from RNAcentral.
GACGAACGCUGGCGGCGUGCUUAACACAUGCAAGUCGAACGGUGAACCUCUUCGGAGGGGAUCAGUGGCGAACGGGUGAGUAACACGUGGGCAACCUGCCCCCGGCUCUGGGAUAACUCCAAGAAAUUGGGGCUAAUACCGGAUGUUCACCGCUUCCCGCAUGGGUGGUGGUGGAAAGGGUUUCCGGCUGGGGAUGGGCCCGCGGCCUAUCAGCUUGUUGGUGGGGUAGUGGCCUACCAAGGCGACGACGGGUAGCCGGCCUGAGAGGGUGACCGGCCACACUGGGACUGAGACACGGCCCAGACUCCUACGGGAGGCAGCAGUGGGGAAUAUUGCGGAAUGGGCGGAAGCCUGACGCGGCGACGCCGCGUGGGGGAUGACGGCCUUCGGGUUGUAAACCUAUUUCAGCAGGGACGAAGCGCAAGUGACGGUACCUGCAGAAGAAGCACCGGCCAACUACGUG